UUAAGCAUAUCAAUAAGCGGAGGAAAAGAAACCAACAGGGAUUGCCUCAGUAACGGCGAGUGAAGCGGCAACAGCUCAAAUUUGAAAUCUGGCUCCUUGGGGGUCCGAGUUGUAAUUUGUAGAGGAUGCUUCGGGUGCGGCACCGGUCUAAGUCCCUUGGAACAGGGCGUCAUAGAGGGUGAGGAUCCCGUAUGUGACCGGCGACCAAGCCCAUGUGAAGCUCCUUCGACGAGUCGAGUUGUUUGGGAAUGCAGCUCAAAAUGGGUGGUAAAUUUCAUCUAAAGCUAAAUACCGGCCAGAGACCGAUAGCGCACAAGUAGAGUGAUCGAAAGAUGAAAAGCACUUUGGAAAGAGAGUCAAAAAGUACGUGAAAUUGUUGAAAGGGAAGCCCUUGUAACCAGACCUGCCGUCGGGGGCUCCGCGGGCAUUCUUGCCCGUUUACUCUCCCGCGAUCAGGCCAGCAUCGGUUUUGGCGGCCGGAUAAAGACUCGAGGAAUGUAGCUUCGCUUCGGGGAAGUGUUAUAGCCUCUUGUGCAAUACGGUCAGCCGGGACCGAGGACCGCGCUUCGGCUAGGAUGCUGGCGUAAUGGUUGCAAGCGACCCGUCUUGAAACACGGACCAAGGAGUCUAACAUCUAUGCGAGUGUUUGGGUGUCAAACCCAUGCGCGGAAUGAAAGUGAACGGAGGUGGGAACCCUUAAGGGCGCACCAUCGACCGAUCCGGAAGUUUACGGAUGGAUUUGAGUAUGAGCAUAGCUGUUGGGACCCGAAAGGUAAGAUCGUCCCGACAACUCUACUCCCCCAAGCCCAUGCUAACAUUUUGAUCAGAUGGUGAACUAUGCCUGAAUAGGGUGAAGCCAGAGGAAACUCUGGUGGAGGCUCGCAGCGGUUCUGACGUGCAAAUCGAUCGUCAAAUUUGGGUAUAGGGGCGAAAGACUAAUCGAACCAUCUAGUAGCUGGUUCCUGCCGAAGUUUCGUAAGUUCUGAGGACCACCCCCGAAUGAGUUCUUGCUAACAAUCUCAACAGCCUCAGGAUAGCAGUAACGUUUUCAGUUUUAUGAGGUAAAGCGAAUGAUUAGAGGUCUGGGGGAUGAAACAUCCUUCACCUAUUCUCAAACUUUCAAUAUGUAAGAAGUCCUUGUUACUUAGUUGAACGUGGACAUUUGAAUGCACCGUUACUAGUGGGCCAUUUUUGGUAAGCAGAACUGGCGAUGCGGGAUGAACCGAACGUGGGGUUAAGGUGCCGGAAUGUACGCUCAUCAGACACCAAGGGGACGACUUGUGGUGUCCUGCCGGGGGAUAGACCCCCCGGCAUCAGUCUGCGAAAGGCGAGGUCUUUGACCUGUAGGGGCCGGCGGUCGCUCCGGCGAUGGCUUACCCUCUGCUGUCCCAUGACCGGGGCAGCUCACAGAUCAAGCAAAGGCCGGCGGCAGUACGCCGUUGGAGAUAUGAUCGGCCCCCGAAGGUUCACUUCGGGGAGCAAGUGCAAAAGGUGUUGAUUCAUCUAGACAGCCGGACGGUGGCCAUGGAAGUCGGAAUCCGCUAAGGAGUGUGUAACAACUCACCGGCCGAAUGAAUCAG
RNAcentral lists this ribosomal RNA (1580 nucleotides) under Ramalina requienii. Its description in RNAcentral is "LSU rRNA". It matches the Rfam family "Eukaryotic large subunit ribosomal RNA", at positions 34 to 1309 of the family's 3401-position model. The record is from RNAcentral. Lineage: Eukaryota; Fungi; Ascomycota; Lecanoromycetes; Lecanorales; Ramalinaceae.